This is a non-coding RNA of Onthophagus taurus, 581 nucleotides long. The record is from RefSeq and is a predicted model, not a curated record. NCBI's taxonomy places the organism in Eukaryota, Metazoa, Arthropoda, Insecta, Coleoptera, Scarabaeidae.
ACCUCACAAAUAAUAUGUUUAUUGCAUCUUAAAAUCUUUAUUUACCACCAAAACAUUAAAAAUAUGAUUUAUCUCUGAUAUUUGCGGACGUCUCUUCGAUAUAUAUAUAUUUUUCUAUGGUCUCUUCGAAGUUCACCCAGUUGACUAUUUGUAGUUGUUUCAUGCGAGAUGGACACAGAAAUUGUUACGGAGGAAUAAAAACACUUUAAGAUCUGGUUACAUCUUUAUAAAAAAUAAUAAUAAUCUAUGGAAACAAUAUAUACAUACAACGUUAUUGGAAGGAGAUGAGGAAGGGAAGAAGUUGGUGGCUAGGUUCCGUUGUGGAAACGAGGAGAGAGCUAACAGAUACUGGAUGGCCGAUGAGGAGAGUAUCGUCUUUAUCGACCUUACUACUAACGCCAUCUACCUAACACCGUAUACAACAGGAACAUAUGUUGAAUGGGUGCAGUGAGUUGAGGGAGGAGGAGUUGAACCGAGGGCAGAUCUUAGGAGAGGGGAACCGAUGGAUGAGAAUGGUUGUGGGGUUAAGGAGACAAAGGGAAGGAUGAGGGGAUGAUUGGGCCGAGGAGCCAAGGGUAUGG